Molecule: long non-coding RNA, 950 nt
Organism: Pan troglodytes (chimpanzee)
Lineage: Eukaryota; Metazoa; Chordata; Mammalia; Primates; Hominidae
Exons: 2
Source: RefSeq, a predicted model, not a curated record
AUUCUGCCAGGAAUCCAGCUGACCGAAUUACCCACACUUGCCCACCUUAGGCCUUCAUUCGCAGCAGGCAUGUGUGCCUGGGUUUGUUACCAGCAGCCAUUUUCUCACCCUUAAAUGACGGAUGGGUCUCCCCUUUUCUUUUUCUCAUUUUCCUAGAGGUUACAAGAUUCCUGUUUUUCUCACCAGGAAGAGAGGUCAGCCUCAGUGAGCUCAUAGCAGUCAUACAUUGCCAGUGUUUUUCCUCAAGUGGAAGGAGAAAGGCCUUCAGAAAAAAAAUCGUAUGCAAACCUAGUGCUACCACCAGCAGCAGCUCUGAAUCGAGAUUUUUGGGACAAUUCGGCUUACUGAAGAUAAACUACAAUAAGUCUCAAGGAGGCAAAUAAUUCUGAUUCCAAUGAGGAAUCCAAGAAUAAAGGCAGCUCUUAAGGUACGGACGUGAACUGUCUGUGGGUGACUUGCCUGGAUGCCGGCUAUAGCUGCAGCCCCCAAAGUCGAAGCUACCAGAACAGAUUGGAUGAGGAUGGCCCAAAGAUUAUGGAGUUGCUGGCCCCAAAGCAAGUCAGACACUAUGGGAAGUUUGCAUGAAUCAUGCCCUUGGAUAGACAACCUAAAUCAUACCUCAUCGAGCAUGGAUCCUGGUCAGCAUACCAAGUCAAGGCAAGUAAAGACUGAAGAAAUAUCACCUGGUCUGCAGCUCCCCCCAAAACGAAGUCUGCUACUGAUGGCAGAAGCAUAGAUAGACCAAGGGUAUCACUAUGUAAUGAUGGAAGAAGGAAAAACCCCAUGCAUUCACUCAUGUCUUGAAUCACCUAGAGAAGAGAGGGAAUCUGCCAAAGUGGACACAAUAGAAAUUCAGUUCUAAAUUUGGAGGAAAUGAGACCCACUCUCAGAUAAGAUGAAAAGUAAAAGCCCUAGGAUCCAAUGGGGUAUUAAACAAAUAUUUAAAAGUA